RNAcentral lists this ribosomal RNA (381 nucleotides) under uncultured eukaryote. RNAcentral's name for it is "SSU rRNA". It matches the Rfam family "Eukaryotic small subunit ribosomal RNA", at positions 587 to 972 of the family's 1831-position model. The record is from RNAcentral.
AGCUCCAAUAGCGUAUAUUAAAGUUGUUGCGGUUAAAAAGCUCGUAGUUGGAUUUCUGCCGAGGACGACCGGUCCGCCCUCCGGGUGAGCAUCUGGUUCGGCCUUGACAUCUUCUUGGUGAACGUAGCUGCACUUGACUGUGUGGUGCGGUACCCAGGACUUUUACUUUGAGGAAAUUAGAGUGUUUCAAGCAGGCAUACGCCUUGAAUACAUUAGCAUGGAAUAAUAUUAUAGGACCUUGGUUCUAUUUUGUUGGUUCCUAGAGCUAAGGUAAUGAUUAAUAGGGACGAUUGGGGGCAUUCGUAUUGUCACGUCAGAGGUGGAAUUCUUGGAUUGUGUUAAGACGAACUAGUGCGAAAGCAUUUGCCAAGGAUGUUUUCA